This is a non-coding RNA of Equus caballus (horse), 4559 nucleotides long. The record is from RefSeq and is a predicted model, not a curated record. NCBI's taxonomy places the organism in Eukaryota, Metazoa, Chordata, Mammalia, Perissodactyla, Equidae.
CACCAUAGGAACUAGAAAACAUUUGAUAACACGAGGCCUCUGGGACAGGAAGACUGAGCAGGUCUGGAUAAAAACAACCCUUUUCUGCCCUUUCACCUUGAAUCCUGGGCGUCUCACCUGUUUGGAGACGAUCAGGACUUCAGCGUCUUCCACACUGAGCAGAAGUUCCUGUUUCCAGCGUCCUCCACCGGCCUGCGAACCACUAGUGCACGUCCUGUUGGAUUCCUCUUUGUGCCCCAACAUCUAGAUCAAGCAAGGGCCGAUGGAGUCCCUUCUGCCGCCCCAGGAUACAGGACCAGGAGGGACGAGUGGCUCCCUUAGCUCUCAAGUCAGCCACCCCACAGGAAGACUCAGCCUGCCACGCCUGCUGCUCUGAAAAUACAUCACAGAUUACAAGGAAAGCUCAGACCAUCGACUUCCUGGGCUGGGGAUUUGACAGACCAGAAGCCCAGCUUCCGCAUUUAGCCCAGCUGGUUGGGAGGAUUCCCUGGAGAUCCUGCACUUUCGUCCACUGCACCUCACGUGACCUCGUUCCUGAGAGCUCUGUAUCUAAUUGCCCAGCUGCAAACUCAUCAAUAGCCUCUACCUGACCCAUCUGGAGGCUGUCGUCCCCCCUUCCCCUGCCUUUCCUCCCUCUGGAAAACUGGAUUCCCCAGCGGUCACCGUGGAUAGUGGUGAUGGCCCCUGGAGUCGGUGAAUGUGGGGGUCUUCUGGAGCCCACCUUCCUCAGGCCACAGCAUUGUUUUAACCGUUCACUGAGCACUUUCAGUGUGGGCUCUGGGGAGACAAGGGGGCCGGCACACAGUGCCUGCUCUGGGGAACUUGUGGUGCAGCAGAGGACGUGGGUACAAGUGGGCCAUUAGAAGUGCUGUGAGGAUAGAGAGAUGUACAGGCUGCAAGGCACAGAGUGGGCAAUGAGGGCCGUGUCAGGGAAAGUGGCCCAGGGGAAGCCCCGGCCCAGGAGAGGGCUGAAGAACGGUUGGUAGUUGGCUGUGGCCUUGGGGAAAUUGUAUGCUGCGCAGAGAGAAGCCAGAGAGAACACAGGGUCCAGGGAAGUGCCAGGCAGUCUGUAUGGCUGAGUGGUGUGUCAGUGGGAAGAGGAGGGAGUGGAGGCUGGACAGGGGCAAAGGGAGACCAUGCAGUGCCUCCAGUCCAUGAAAGAGACUGGACUCAAUCCAAGAGCAACAGGAGCUGCUGAAGCGUGUUAAGCAAGGGAUGACGACAUUGAGUAGCCAAUGUUGGAAAUAUUUAUUUCUAUUCAUAUAAUGGGGAAAAUUCAGAAGGAGGCUUGCUCCCACCCAAGUUCGCAGUCAAUGAGUAGACUGAAGAAGAGCGGCCUAGAGACCUGCCCAAGGCCCACAGCAAGCAGGGCGGAGCCGGCACUGGAACCCUUGCCUGUGCUUGGGGAGGCGGGGAUCUACAAAGAGGGGAGUAAGUGGAUAAGCUGGGACUCUAAGCCACCUUGGUCCGACUUAAGCCAAAGGGGACAUUACUUAUGAGGAUGCAGGCCCAUGGCAGGACAGUGGAACUUUCAGAGGAGCCCUGAUUCAGAGGCAGGAUGUUCUCAAGACUCCUUCUCUGUCUCCUUCCCAUGCCUGCCUCUGCCCAUCUGCUCCAUCCCUUCUCUUUGCAGCCCUUCCUCGGGCUCUCUGGCUGCUGCCAGAGCCUGCUUGCCCCACUGACUUUGAGGUGGUGAGUCACAGGCCAGCUCUGGUUUCCAGGUCCAAGUUCCCAGGAGAGAGACUCUGAGAGCCCCAGAGCAUCUAGCAUAAGCUGCUAUGGCCAGCGUGUCACAUGUACAAACCCAGGGGCUGAGGCAUCCCCAGAGAAGGAGAACUGUGUACUAGCAGAUAUCCCAAAGCUGUCAAGCUCAGUAUGGCAUGGUCUCCACCCCUCCUGGGCGUACAGCUAUAUAGAACUUUAUAAUCCAGCAGGAAGAAAACACACAGAUCCCUACAAUCCAAAGGAUUUUAAAGAGAAUAGCUAAUAUUUUUGAGCACUUACUCUAUGCUGGGUAUUUUGCUAAGUGAUUCACAUGUAUUUUCUUACUCAAUUCUUGUGGCCCAGUGAGGUAGAUGCUAUUAUUAUCUUCAACUUACAGACAAGGAAACGGAGGCACAGAGAAUUCUGAUUGAGCUUUCCUGUCCAGUUUCUGAGACACAACACUCCAGUCUUAGGACAGAGGAAGACAGGCUGCCUUCCUAGGCAGUGGUGUGCUGGUAAAUGUUUAACAACCAGCUCUCUGGGGAAAAAAGCUCUGGUUUAUAGUGUUUGCUGAUUUCUGGGGUGUGAAUACUCCCAUCGUGGCUGAUUUCAACCUACCAACUUCCCAGAGCCAGUCUGAGCUACCUUCCACACAUAUGGUAUCUCACUCCUUUUGGGUGACUCUGGAGCUGUGUCCAGGAGCUGUGUGAUUUAGAGCAGUGGUUCUCCAAGUGUGGUCCCUGAACCGGCCGGCCGCAUCAGCCUCACCUGAAAACUUGUUAGACAUGCAAAUUCUCUGACCCCCCCCGCCCCCCCCAGACCUGCCGAAUCAGGAACCCUGGUCAUGGAGGGGAAGAGCAGCUCCUUGUGUUAUCCCAGCCCCCCAGUGAAUUCUGAUGCACGUUCCAGUUAGAGAACUUCUGGAGCAAUGGGGUAAUGUGCCCUUUCGCAAACCCAGCUGGUCCUAGUAUUCAUCCUGCAGUCGGGAGAAUGGGCCUCAUGCUCCCAGGUGGGAGAACUCCUUGGCAGAUGGGCAAACUGAGGCCAGAGAGGGGAAGGUGUGCUGGGAAGUGGUGGGUGACUGGAGUGGGUUGAGAAGUCAGCCUUGGUCUCCUCUCCCACAAGGUGAUGGAAAUGGGUGAGGGAUGUCUGCAGAGUCCCAAGGUGCAUGGUAGGGUGGGAAGAGUGAGCUCUGACUCCAGACAAGUGGCCAGAGCAGAGGGAAGGAGGAGAAUCCACAGUCUUCCAGCGCGGGCUCCUCUGAAGAGGGGAAAUGAGGAAAGAGGCACAUAAAAUCACAAGGCUCAGUAGUGCCUGGCCCUGGGCCUUCAAGGCUGGUCCAAAGAGGUUCGGAAUCUGAAGUAAGUCCUGGGAGCGAUGCAAGAGGGGCUGGAUGAGCAAUCUCUCUGCCUCAGGUCUGAGCCCAGAAGACCUGAGAUGGCUCCUGCAGUGGGAGAUGGGCCAGGAGCCCCAGGUCCAAGUCCUGCCAAGCUCUCUGUGGGAUGUGUUUGCUGUCUGGUUGUCUCAACAACUUCCCUCAACCCCAAUCCAGAUUUACUGUUAACCAAAGACAAACAAAUCAAGAGCCAAGUAGCGGAAAUGAUGCAAAUUCCAUGUCAGCCCUAGGAGGCCGUGAAACACCUGGGCAAUCAGCAAGGGUGUGAUGUCACCCAGAGAAAUACUCGGCUCUCAAGCAACUGUGUUACGUGACGCGGCCUGUGUGCCCUGGUCACAUGCGGGAGAGGGAGGUUCCCCGCUGAGCUCAGUGUUUCUGAUAGAGAACCAAAACACAAACAGAAACUGUCUUGUCACGAUGAAAUCUGUAAGUCAUGUGAUGGCACAGAUCUGCCCAAAGUUUUGGUCAGAGAGUGAAGAUUCAGAGCAAGCAUUAUUUAGCAGAAUCAGGCCCUGCUGGGAUGAUGGCCUGCUUUUUUACUUUGGCCGGAAAGUCGGGUCCACUGGAAUCUCAGCCACUCUCCUUUCAGGAAAGCAGCUCUGUAUGAAAGAGUUUCCUCAGAGGCACCUGCUUGAGAAUUUCUCUAGCAAAAAUCCUGGAACCAACACCAGCCUUCCCCUUCUGGGCUGCUAUGUCCCUGUGGUGUCUCCUCCGGGCUUGGACUCCAUGUUGGUCCCCAGGGAGAGGCAGAGUGCCUGAGCUGGCCGUUCCUGCAUCCCAACCCAGAGUGGCCCACGUUGGGGUGCUUCGGCAGAUGCUGGUUUAAACUAAGGGAAGGUCUGGGCGUUGUGCAGACAAAGCAUUCUGCUCAGUAAAUGCUGAGCAAAGGCCUGGUGGCAAGUUGGAGGUUUCAGGUAGCAGGGAGGUAGGAGGUGUUGGGGUAGAGGGACAAUGACCCACUCCGUUCUCUUGCCCCCAUUCUUCCAGGCUCUCACUCUUUGAAAAGCAACUGUGGGCCACCUGGAGUGCUGGCACUGGGUAAUGGUGUGGACAAUACAGAAAUGGGCAGCCAGGUCACCGCCCUCAAGGGGCUUACGUUCUAUUUAGGUAGAUAAAACUAUUACAGCCCAAUGCAGUAACAAGCAAUGGGGAACAGCAUGCAAUUUACCACAAACCCAGAGCAGUGAAGCAUAGAAGGAAAAGCAUCAGUGGUCCCUGUGCUAGACACACUGCACCUGAAUUCUAGCCCUGCCACUCACUAGCAGCUGUGUGACCUUGGGCGAGUUGCUUAAAUACUCUGAGCACCAUUUUAUACAUCUAUACAAUGGAAAUAAAAAUUCCCAACUCACAGAGUUUUUCUGAAAAAUGAAAUAUUGGUUGCAAAACAGCUGGUAAAAUGCCCAGCACAUAGUAGGUACUUGAUAAAUUAAAAAAAAAUUUUUUUAUUGAGGUUAUGAUA